UACGGAGGGUGCAAGCGUUACUCGGAAUUACUGGGCGUAAAGAGCGUGUAGGCGGGUUAAUAAGUUGGAAGUGAAAUCCUAUGGCUUAACCAUAGAACUGCUUCCAAAACUGUUAGCCUAGAGUGUGGGAGAGGUAGAUGGAAUUUCUGGUGUAGGGGUAAAAUCCGUAGAUAUCAGAAGGAAUACCGAUUGCGAAGGCGAUCUACUGGAACAUAACUGACGCUGAGACGCGAAAGCGUGGGGAGCAAACAGG
This 253-nucleotide ribosomal RNA is filed under the name uncultured prokaryote. Its description in RNAcentral is "partial 16S ribosomal RNA". It matches the Rfam family "Bacterial small subunit ribosomal RNA", at positions 524 to 776 of the family's 1533-position model. The record is from RNAcentral.